AUUGAACGCUGGCGGCAUGCCUUACACAUGCAAGUCGAGCGCGAAAGGGGGCAACCCCGAGUAGAGCGGCGGACGGGUGAGUAACGCAUCGGAACGUGCCCAGUAGUGGGGGACAACCUCGAGAAAUCGAGGCUAAUACCGCAUACGACCCACGGGUGAAAGCGGGGGACCGCAAGGCCUCGCGCUAUUGGAGCGGCCGAUGUCCGAUUAGCUAGUUGGCGGGGUAAGAGCCCACCAAGGCGACGAUCGGUAGCUGGUCUGAGAGGACGACCAGCCACACUGGGACUGAGACACGGCCCAGACUCCUACGGGAGGCAGCAGUGGGGAAUCUUGCGCAAUGGGCGAAAGCCUGACGCAGCGACGCCGCGUGGGGACGAAGGCC
RNAcentral lists this ribosomal RNA (382 nucleotides) under uncultured bacterium. RNAcentral's name for it is "bacterial SSU rRNA". It matches the Rfam family "Bacterial small subunit ribosomal RNA", at positions 29 to 416 of the family's 1533-position model. The record is from RNAcentral.